This 306-nucleotide long non-coding RNA is filed under the name Anas platyrhynchos platyrhynchos (common mallard). RNAcentral describes it as "lncRNA (ENSAPLG00000028724.1)". Lineage: Eukaryota; Metazoa; Chordata; Aves; Anseriformes; Anatidae. The record is from RNAcentral.
AGGACUAAAACCAGCCUCAUUUCAUGCUGCAUAUGGCUUGGCAGUGUAGAUGCAGCAUUACCAAGAGCCUGAGCAGGGUUGUAUCAGAGCCUCCUUUUUUCCUUUGCAAAGGGUGCUUUGUGCAGUCGUGAACAGGGAAGGGAAAUCCUCACGUCACAAAGCUCUGAGGGAAGGUGGCGUGCAUGAUGCUGGCCGCUCCUUUCAAGCUUGGACGUAAUUUUCAGGUGGUGUGGAUGAUACUGGCUGCACUGUUGGAGCUUGGAUUCGGAGAGGAACAGGUGAGCACAGUCUUAUGGUGCAUCAGUA